RNAcentral lists this ribosomal RNA (435 nucleotides) under Elphidium sp. S4. RNAcentral's name for it is "SSU rRNA". It matches the Rfam family "Eukaryotic small subunit ribosomal RNA", at positions 1195 to 1460 of the family's 1831-position model. The record is from RNAcentral. Lineage: Eukaryota; Foraminifera; Rotaliida; Elphidiidae.
UUGACUCACGCGGGGAAUCUUACCGGGUCCGGACACACUGAGGAUUGACAGGUUUCGAGAGUUUUUUUGGAGUUCGCUCCAGAAUGCUCUCUUAAAUAUGCUAGUCCUUUCAUGAUUAUGUGAUAGGUGGUGCAUGGCCGUUCUUAGUUCGUGGAGUGAUCUGUCUGCUUAAUUGCGUUUCACUAAAGGCGUCAUUAUAUUUUUGUGCUUGUGUUUGACCCCUCUUUCUUCGGAUUGAGCGCGUGUCUUUCACACACAAUUACUUUGACGUCUGAAAGCAACGAACGUGACCGUAACCUCUUGUUGCCUUCUCUUCUCUUCGGAGAAUGCUAGUUUUUUUCUUCGGAUAAAUUCUAGUAUAUGGAGGCUUUUACUCAAACUAGAGGGACCGCUGUUACUUUCUUUAAACCAGAGGAAGGUUGCGGCAAUAACAGG